ACAUCCAGGUGGAGCCACGCAUCCCGAUCCCAACACCCCGCCGCACAGGGCUAGUGCGUCGGGGCGAAAAGGGAACGGGGUAACGGUGCGUGGCAGACGAGGGGCGCUCGAGGAGGUUUCGGGGCUUCGGCCUCUUUUCCCCUCUCGAGACAAUCGCCCGCACCUGGGAGAAUCGAGAUGGCCGUCGCAACCCAAGGGCCCCGCGAGGGGCACGACGGGAGGCAGUCGGCUGAAAUCGCAGGGAAGCACCGAAUCCGUCUCCGCUCCUCUCGUCCCCAGUGCAGAACCCCGGAUGCCAAACGGGGGGACGCGAGUGGGACGAGCGAGAUGAGGCGGGUGGCGACCCAGCUGAGCUCGGCGAACCCAGCCGGCCAACGGACCCCGUCCGGACCUCCCAGCAGGUGGGGAGGCCGAUCGCGCAUCGGUCUCGCUCUCUCUCCCGAGACGGGCGGCUCACACAAAGGGAGCCGGGGGUGUGGCAACCCCCGCGUCUCCCGGCGUUGCCGUUUCCAGAACGGGCGAGAGGCGGGCGGGGCUCGUACUCAAAAUGGUCGG
RNAcentral lists this unclassified non-coding RNA (555 nucleotides) under Closterium peracerosum-strigosum-littorale complex. RNAcentral's name for it is "ITS2". The record is from RNAcentral. Lineage: Eukaryota; Viridiplantae; Streptophyta; Zygnematophyceae; Desmidiales; Closteriaceae.